Quercus robur (English oak) is the source of this 531-nucleotide long non-coding RNA. RefSeq lists it as uncharacterized. Lineage: Eukaryota; Viridiplantae; Streptophyta; Magnoliopsida; Fagales; Fagaceae. The transcript has 3 exons. The record is from RefSeq and is a predicted model, not a curated record.
AUUGACUGACGAAUAAUUCAUUUGAAAUGGUCAUAGGAAACAAUGAUACAUGCAAGCAUUAGAAAGAAUCUUCCUCAAACUUAUUGUCCACAACUAAUUGAAGGGAGCAUAUAUACAAUUACAAAUUUUUUAGUUGAAGAAAAUAAAGGAAACUAUCGUCCAGUACAUAACAAAUUCAAAAUACUCUUCAAUUUAGCAACUUCAAUCUCAAAAUUCAGCGGAUUUGAUCAUUCAAUACCUCAAUCCCAAUUUGAAUUUGCUGAUUAUGGAACAAUAGCUUCCCGUUGUUAUGACAAUACUUACUUGACUGAUGUGAUUGGCAUAUUAGACUACAUUGGAGCCAUUGAGGAGAUCAAAACAAGAGGGCGUCCAACAAAGAUAAGAAACAUUCAACUAUUGUUAGAAGAGAACAAAUCAAUUCAAACAACUUUGUGGGGAAAUACUGCACAACAAAUAGAUGAUUUCUACAAAACAAAUAAAGGGCCAUUUAUUGUAAUAGUUACUUCAACUAUUGUGAAAACUUUUAGAGGU